Molecule: ribosomal RNA, 528 nt
Filed under: Aleiodes sp. BCLDQ00312
Lineage: Eukaryota; Metazoa; Arthropoda; Insecta; Hymenoptera; Braconidae
Description: LSU rRNA
Rfam family: Eukaryotic large subunit ribosomal RNA
Source: RNAcentral
GUAUAUGUAGUUGCAAGAUGUUGUCGGCGUGCACUUCUUCCCUAGUAGGACGUCGCGACCCGUUGGGUGUCGGUCUACGGCCCGAGUGAUAGCCUUUAAUGUAAUUUAAAAAUCAUUGAAGAUCCUUGGUGUUUUCUGACCGGCUACUCGGCGGUACUCGUACGGUAUUUAGCCGCUAAUUUAUUAGCGUCCAUGUCCGUCACAAGCGAGGCCAAUUUACUGAUAGUGCGGACCUAGUGCCGUCGUUGGUAUUGACCAGCUUUUGGUUGUACGUGAUUCUGGGACUGGCUAAAAUUAAUUACCGGUCGGCGAUGCUACUGCUUUGGGUACUUUCAGGACCCGUCUUGAAACACGGACCAAGGAGUCUAACAUGUGCGCAAGUCAUUGGGAUUUUUUUAAAAUUAAACCUAAAGGCGUAAUGAAAGUAAAGGUUGUCCUUGCGUCAACCGAGGGAGGAUGAGUUGUGUUAUGAUACAGCUCCGCACUCCCGGGGCGUCUCAUUCUUAUUAUAAGAAGAGGCGCACCUAG